Non-coding RNA from Cherax quadricarinatus, 5351 nucleotides. The record is from RefSeq and is a predicted model, not a curated record. Lineage: Eukaryota; Metazoa; Arthropoda; Malacostraca; Decapoda; Parastacidae.
AAAUGGCAAAAGAGUUCAUAGAGCCUCCUCAGGAAGAGGAAUGUGUCCAGUGGUCAUCUCAGCAAGAUGGAAAUGAUACGCGUGAAAAUACCCAGGUUUCACAGCCAGAGGCUAAGGCUCAGGCGAAGCCUAAUGUUAGCACACCUGAAGAGAAAGACAUCGAUAUAGUAUAUGAGGAGACAUUAUCUACUCCCAGUAGCCAAGAGAAUAUUCCUCCUCACUUCCCAUCCUCAUCCCUGCCACUAUCUCCUGUUCUUGUAUCUCCAUCUUCAUUACCUCCACUACCAUCCCCACUAUCCUCACAGUAUUCCUCACACCCCUCUCUCCCAUCCUCCUCAUCUCCCUUGCUGUCUCCUCCAGCCCAUCCACAUCAGAGGAGUACUAACAUCUCGGUUGAGGAAUUUAAUGAGCGUGCAAUGCAAGACAGUGAAAACAAUAAUGUGGAUGAAAACAGUAAUGAUCAGCAAUAUGACCUGUAUGCAGAUUACCACCAAGAAUUCAGCCAUCACCAGUUUGUGCCAGAUCAGUCUGUCAGACCCCGUGAUAGAAGACCACAGAGUGAAAGGGAUCAACCUGAUUGUACCAAUAUGAACAAUGAAGACAGUUAUAGACGGAGAAGAAGUCGCUUUUCUCAUCGAAGGAACUUGUCAGAAGACCAGACUUAUUCUGGUGCUUCUUAUGCAUUUGAAGAUAAUCAUAGUUAUUUGCCGCCAUUACCAAAUCUCACCACCCGUCCAGGUGCUAUUGAUAGAAAAGGGUUCCAAGAGAAUCUUCAGCAUUGCCAAACAAGAAUUUCUACUCAGUCACAUUCUCAAAAGCUUCCUCUUAAUUUGAGAGGGGGUGGGUAUGAUCCUCUACCACCACUGCCAGCACCCUCAGAAGAUAUUACUCAAGGAGCACAAGAGCUCUUAAUGAAUUUUACCUAUGAUACAUUACAGAGUAACCAUUUGGAAGUGCCUGAAUCUUUCAUCAUGCACCGAGGUUUCAGUAACCCUACUUGGUCAAGAGCUGGCCAAGAGCUGCAGAAAUUGGCAGAUGCCUUUGCUAAAACCGAAGAGCGCAGAAGAGUACAAGUGAUGGCUAAAUCCGUAAACUUGAGAUCCAUGAAUAUGGAAAACUUUUUUGAACUCUGUGCUGAACUCUUUUCAGAUGGCAUAACUCGAGAGCGAAUUGUAGCAUUGUUUACCUUUGUGGGUGAUGUUGCUGUUCAUCAGGUGCGACUACGGGGUGAGGAGUUUCUGCAGUUGUUAAUGAAAUGGUCACUGAAGUACUUAGUAGACAAUAUUUGCAGAUGGGUGCAAGCAGCUGGGGGUUGGGUGGUUGUGCUGUGCUGUGGAGCAAACAUGUUAUACAAGGGUACUAUACUUGCAUUCUGUAUAGUUGGAACAUUAGCUGCUGGUUUGUUCAUAUACAAAACCUUGAAAGAUUGGUAACAUUAGUGAAAAAGUUGACCCACUGCAGCCAGACACGUAGGCACCAUACAAGGAACAAGUAUCUGUUUGACAUACCACAUGUUCGACUUGACCUGUUUAGUGGCUCCAUACAAAUUAAAGGCAAUAAAAUAUGGAACUCGCUACCUGAAGAUACAAAAAGUUCCAUAUCUGCCAACUACUUUAAAACUCUUGUUAAAAAAAAACACUCAUUAACUUCAUGUGAUUGUGCAUUAGUUGAUUGUUAUUAUUUAUUAAUGUCUAAAUGCCUACUGUAAUUUGUUUACCAGAUCUACUUAACAUUCAUUCUUGUAUAUUGCUGUCACUACUGUUUUUUUUUAUCUAAUUACACUGGCCAACAAAGGUUUCAGUUUAUGUUUAAAAAUGUGUUUCAGACUAAUUCAAAUCUGAAUUUAGUUUUCUUCUAACACAUACAGUUUCUGUGAAAUAAAAUCCCAUAAUGAACAAUUUCAUUAAGGCAUAGCUAUCAUGGAGAAGGGAUAAGAGAUAUCAGGGAAACCUGAUGAUCAGUUUGAUGGGUGACUACUGCUGGGCACUGGUGCAGGAAAGCAAUUCAGAACACAGGCGAGAAAGCCUGAGAACUGUGAUGUAAAUGUUCAUAUGACUGUAUGGAAAUUUCUUUUAUUUUUAUUAUGCAUAUACUGUACUGUAUAUAUAAUGAAUUUAUGUUAAGAUUAGUUUGUCACUGCAUGUAGCACAAUAUCUAUGCAUAAUAUAAUACCAGUGAUUGUUAGGGAACAUAUAUCAUGUGGUUCUUCAACAUUAAUUGUCAAAAUAUUUAUCAUAAGAUUUAAAAAAAAAAUGCUUAUGUGAUAAAGGCUAAACUAGCUCAAAUUUGUCAUCAGCUCAUCUAAGUUAGCCUAAAAGAAACAGUUUGGUUUCUGAGCUAGUUAAAAAGUUAAUUAACUGGUUAAAAAGUAUUAAUGUAACCACUGUAACCAAAAUGUAUCAGUCCAGUCUACAUUAUUUCUACAUACAGUAGUCCCCCUGUAUCCACAGGGCAUAUGUUCCAAGACCUGCCAUGGAUACCCGAAACUGCGGAUAGUAGCAAACCCUGUAUAUACAUAUGUUUAAUUGAUAAAUUAUUUAUCAAUUAAACUUUAACAUACAUAUGUUAAAGUUUAAUUGAUAAAUUAUUCACAAUAAGUUGAGAAUUAGCACUUUUUCACUGAUAGGAAGCAGUUCACAGCUUCUUUUAUGCUUUGAAGAACUGUCAUCACCACUACUUUUGUGCUUUGGUGCCAUCAUUAAGUAAAAUUAAGGCUUAUUUUUGAGCCACGGUAAACCGUGGAUAACUGAAACAGCAGAAACUGAAUCCAUGGAUACUGGAUGGGGGGGGGGGUCUGCUGUAUGUUGUAUCAAACUUAGAAUUCAAAUAAUCUAAACCUUACCUAUGCAUCGUAUAGCUUUUUAAUUUUAAGUCCUGUUGGUGAGAUAUACUUAGGAUGCUGAAGUGCUUUGCAUAUUCAGUGGCUUUCCAGUUAGCUUGCACUCAUUUCCACUCUUUAUUUGUAACUAUAAUGUGUUUUUAUGGAAAUAAUAUUUUUCAUUUAGCUGUUGCAAAAUUUUGAUUUUUUUCUCUUGUUUGUAGUUUGAGAUGGCCUGUUUUUCUAAAUAAAACUGUGAAGAGAAAACUUAAAUUAAAUAAAACUUACAGUUUAUAUGGUGUAUUGAAGUUUGUGAAAAAUUAUCACUCAUCAGCAACAGCUUCAUAAAUCUCUUCAAGGAGGGUGCUUUGAUGCCUAUGAAAGCCUCUUGGAAUUACACUUCGUGCACUUGGAUCAAACAUGCUGCCUUCCACUCCCCAGGUGAUGUAUGACCCCCUACAAGUUUAGCAUUUCCCAAUGAUAAUUUAUAUCCAUAGUACAGAACUGAACAAUAUUAUUUCUUUGUGCUAGUCCUGCACUGCAGUAUCAAUGUUGUACUGAAAACAACCUACAUAUAUUUACAUAUGGUAAACUCCACAUAAUUUAUUUAUACAGUAACAUAAUACACUGAGAACAUUUUCAUAAUGAGAAUGAUGCUACCACAUACAGUACAAGAGAAUAAAUACUAGAGCAGUAUUAACAAAUUCUUAUUCUAUUUAAUGUGGGACAAUUUGAACAUUUGUAAACGUUACAUGUACAGUGACAUACUGCACGUAUUUGAUUUCAAGGUUUUACGGCAGGAUGUUGGGUGGUCCUUGUUCUUUUACUUAGCAUAUAAUUUUUUUUUUUUUAAAGGAAAGGAAGCAGCACUUUAAACCUGAGGGCCAUGUGAUACUGAAGAGUACCAUCGUAGCAUUCAUAUGCAUUCGCACAAAAAAAAAAAAAAAUGUACAUUAUCUGCGAAUAGUAAAUUAUUUAAAUUAUAAGAAACACUAAUGUCCUGUUUACCAAAAUAUCAGUCUUAUGCACAGUUCUUAUGCUCACACAUCUUCAUGUACUCAACAUUAGGCAAUAUUUUCUUCCCUUAAAAUAAUUUUGUUUCAUAUUUUAUAGUUUAGUACAGUAUUUUACUAUCAUAACUGGGAACAUGAAUCCUUGUGAUAGGCACACUGUAUUAUUAUAUAACAUAACUAAGUGCUAAACCCACAAGGGUUGAGGCACAUUGUAAUUAAAGAAGAAAAUUAAUUGAAUUUGCAAUACUGCUUAGCCCUGUAUCUGUAAAACCUUAAACACCUUUUCCAAGUGUUUAUCUUUCUUUCAGAUUAUCACUAUUAUUAUUAUUAUUUAUUAUUAUUAUAGUUAUCCAGUCUUUCAUUACCUAAAUUUGUUGUUACUUUCAUCACCUUGCUCUUAUAAGUUCGCUUUAAAUUUCCUUCUUUUACAUGCGUAUGAUUGUAUUUAAUUACACAAGACCUACACAAUGCUAUGUCUAGUUCUUAAGUAGUUUGUAAGCCUUACGAUUCGUUGCCUGAAAUGCAUUGGAUAAUGCUUUCUUUGUGUCUACUAUUGUACUUGUGUAUCUACAUUAUAUGUAUGCUCACAUAAAUAAAGCAUUAUCAUUAUCAUCAUUAACCUCCCAAAUUUGUCAACCAACCUUUGCAACUUAUCUUCAGAAAUAAAGCAACUGUGACAACUCCCAUUCUGUACUGUAUUAGAUUCUUUAUCUUUUAAUCCCACACCUCUCCUUAACACCCUAGCAUUCACUUUUACAAUCACCUCUAUUAAUAAGUGAAACAACCAUAGUGACAUCGCAUCCCUGUCUAAGCCUGGUUUUAUCAUGAGACACAAUUCUCUUUUUCUAUAAUUUUAAGUUACCUAACUUUAUCAAAUGCAAAGACUGACUCAAAAUGCUACAAAUAUGUGAUAAUAUGUUAUUUGAUCAAUUAUCUGUAUUUUCUUGCAAACUAAAUCAGAGUGAAUCGAGCAUGCUUAGUUUUCUUCUGAACUAAUAUGUAUUCUCACAUUCAUUCAUAAUGGUGGAGAGCUUCAUAAUUAUUCCCUGCUCACAAUGAGCUAAUUUACCCAGUGAAACCUAAGUCUACACUCAUAACACUUAAACAGAAUUUGCAGAUAUUUUCCUAGAGAUAUGUAACAGUCUUCCUUUCAAUAGCUUAGCCAUGAAAUCUCUCUUGUCCAGCUCCAUCUUCUACUCUUAGCCACACUUCUGCAUACACUCUUCAUACAACUUUACUCUAACAUGCUAAACAUUUUACAGAACCAAACUACCUCGACAAACUGAUUUUUUCAUAUUUAAAUUUGUUUACUUUUAAAUUUAAUUACCUACAUACAUUCCUUUUCUCUACUGUUCUCACAUAUAAGUAGUACAGUAUAUUCCUGUAAAUAACAAAAGAGAAAUAUUUAUUUUUCAAAAUUACAUAGUGUAUACAUAUUUCAAGCAAAUAUGAUUUUCAUUUACUUUAGGUCUGUUUUUAAUUAAGAAUUUAGAAAAUUAGUGAUUUUGCAGCACCUGCAA